RNAcentral lists this unclassified non-coding RNA (345 nucleotides) under soil metagenome. Its description in RNAcentral is "partial contains 5.8S ribosomal RNA, internal transcribed spacer 2, and large subunit ribosomal RNA". The stretch from base 1 to 121 matches the Rfam family "5.8S ribosomal RNA", at positions 35 to 154 of the family's 154-position model. The record is from RNAcentral.
GAUGAAGAACGUAGCGAAAUGCGAUAAGUAAUGCGAAUUGCAGAAUUUCCGUGAGUCAUCGAAUCUUUGAACGCACAUUGCGCCCACUGGUAUUCCGGUGGACAUGCCUGUUCGAGCGUCAUUAUCCUCCCUCAAACCCCGGGUUUGGUGUUGGACCCAAGUUGUGUGAACAACUGGUCUCAAAGACAAUGACGGCGUCCGUGGGACCCUCGGUGCAACGAGCUUUUAGGAGCACGCAUCGAGUUGCAAGGACCUUCCGGGCCGGUCUCCUUUACCAUUUUACAAGGUUGACCUCGGAUCAGGUAGGAAUACCCGCUGAACUUAAGCAUAUCAAUAAGCGGAGGA